GCAGUGGUGGUUCAGUGUUAGAAUUCUUGCCUACCAUGCAGGGGACCCAGGUUCGAUUCUGGCCGGUGCA
This 70-nucleotide transfer RNA is filed under the name Loxodonta africana (African savanna elephant). It matches the Rfam family "tRNA". Rfam says of the family: Transfer RNA (tRNA) molecules are approximately 80 nucleotides in length. Their secondary structure includes four short double-helical elements and three loops (D, anti-codon, and T loops). Lineage: Eukaryota; Metazoa; Chordata; Mammalia; Proboscidea; Elephantidae. The record is from Rfam by way of RNAcentral.